Molecule: ribosomal RNA, 521 nt
Filed under: uncultured bacterium
Lineage: Bacteria
Description: bacterial SSU rRNA
Rfam family: Bacterial small subunit ribosomal RNA
Source: RNAcentral
CCAGAGAACUUAGCAGAGAUGCUUUGGUGCCUUCGGGAACUCUGAGACAGGUGCUGCAUGGCUGUCGUCAGCUCGUGUUGUGGAAUGUUGGGUUAAGUCCCGCAACGAGCGCAACCCUUAUCCUUUGUUGCCAGCGGCUCGGCCGGGAACUCAAAGGAGACUGCCGGUGAUAAACCGGAGGAAGGUGGGGAUGACGUCAAGUCAUCAUGGCCCUUACGGCCAGGGCUACACACGUGCUACAAUGGCGCAUACAAAGAGAAGCGACCUCGCGAGAGCAAGCGGACCUCACAAAGUGCGUCGUAGUCCGGAUUGGAGUCUGCAACUCGACUCCAUGAAGUCGGAAUCGCUAGUAAUCGUAGAUCAGAAUGCUACGGUGAAUACGUUCCCGGGCCUUGUACACACCGCCCGUCACACCAUGGGAGUGGGUUGCAAAAGAAGUAGGUAGCUUAACCUUCGGGAGGGCGCUUACCACUUUGUGAUUCAUGACUGGGGUGAAGUCGUAACAAGGUAAGCGUAGCGAG